UACGUAGGGUGCGAGCGUUGUCCGGAAUUAUUGGGCGUAAAGGGCUCGUAGGCGGUCUGUCGCGUCGGGAGUGAAAACUCAGGGCUUAACCCUGAGCCUGCUUCCGAUACGGGCAGACUAGAGGUAUGCAGGAGAGAACGGAAUUCCUGGUGUAGCGGUGGAAUGCGCAGAUAUCAGGAGGAACACCGGUGGCGAAGGCGGUUCUCUGGGCAUUACCUGACGCUGAGGAGCGAAAGUGUGGGGAGCGAACAGG
RNAcentral lists this ribosomal RNA (253 nucleotides) under uncultured bacterium. RNAcentral's name for it is "partial 16S ribosomal RNA". It matches the Rfam family "Bacterial small subunit ribosomal RNA", at positions 524 to 776 of the family's 1533-position model. The record is from RNAcentral.